This 28-nucleotide non-coding RNA is filed under the name Bombyx mori (domestic silkworm). Lineage: Eukaryota; Metazoa; Arthropoda; Insecta; Lepidoptera; Bombycidae. The record is from RNAcentral.
UAAUACGAUGGGCUGGUCUGCUGACGGC